CCUAGGGAUCCAUUAACAUUACCAAAACAAAUGAAUGGACUCUGCCAGCGUUGUUUCGCAACCUUGACUUAACCAAGCACAACAAAAAUGUCUCAGUAGGCACUUGGAGAAUACCGACUUGACGAUCUCAUCUCAGUUUACUCUUCCAGUGGAAGACCAUUGUUGUCGUUGUUCUGCCUGUCGCAGACGGCACUGACAUAGAUCGCUGAACAAAAAUACAUUAUUCAUUGUAGAUGAAUAAUUUUUGGAUGAACUGAAUUCUGAUCAUUUCUUGACUAAUGCGCCGCAGCACAACGGUUUCGAAACAGUGCUACAAAUGCAUUCUAGUUGUCAGUGAUGCUCACUUUUGUCUCUCAAACAGUAAUCUGUAGAUUUGUGACAAUGCUCGGUCCUUGGCAACACAAUGAUGCAUUAUGGCGCAUACAGUGCAGCAUACAGCAUAAGGCAGGACAACAUACGUUAGCUUGACAAUGACAAAUGACUCUGUUGUUUAAAUGCUCAACAAAUGCAUGUUUCUCUCUUUCUGAGUGUAUGGAGUGAGACAAUCUGUGUGCCAAUCAUGAAUGGUAAUUCCAAAUACUAGAUGGAGAGAAAGGGGAAAAAACAGCCAGCAGUUCAAUGAUGUGUGUGGACACAGAUUGCCGUAUGGAAAUUUUAACCUUUCUGCCAGUGCUGGCUAUCAGGCUUGUAGACAGAAAGGUCCUCCUGUUGAUGUGAUGAGCGGGGAAGACACAAGCUGUCACCACUGCUGACUAAUUACACUGCAAGCAAACAGUUGAGUGCUCUGUUUACAUUUGGACGGCCUCGGGAGACUGAGAUGAGCGUCAUGAAUCAGAUUGUCUUUUGCAUGCGAGUCUCACAUGCAUUUGUGAGAUUGCAGAAAGCCAUCAGUCAUGUUUUAGACGCGAAGGACAGUCCUUAAAACGACCAAAGUAUUGACGCGGUGACGGAUGUCGACGGUAGGCCUGUGGCCACCCCAGUCCGUCCGAGUCUUCUGCCACAGCCAAACUGCGUUGGGAACAGACUUACUGACUGGGCACACUGGGAAGUUGAAGUCAACAUGAGAAUGUGGCGGCUUCUGAGGUAGUAUCAGAGUUGACCACCAGCCAGGACCGUGAAGUUUAACACCUGAAACUUACUGCCACUGCCCCCUUUGUGUUAAAUGCACAUUGCGAUUGCACAUUUUGGACGUUGGAGUUCUAUCUGAAAGGGACAGAUUGAAUAGAGUACAUCUUAUUACUCCUGUUCCACCGGAAUCGCACCUCUGAUAUAAUCAAUGGAGUGCGAAAGCUGCUCAUAACUGGCAUCUCGCCCUAGCCUCAAUUUUGUUGAACAUUUGUGGACUUUUGCUUUAAAAACUGUGUGCAUGCCAGGAAAGAAAUCAAUUUUGAAGAGCAGUGGUCAAUAAUCACCAUGAACUAUACCAGAAGCUUGGAUGAGCUGAAACAAUAUUCAUGUUGAAAAUGUUGAAAUGUUGUCAGCUGACUGACACUGAAGUAUGUUUUCUGACAGGUGGCCUUAUAAAUUUGUUAGGCGCUGUACCAUACAGUACAUUACAUUCAAAUGCAUCCCUGGUAGGCUUCGUGCAUGGGUCUAUGAAUUGACAGGUGACAGAUCUUCUGGGCCACCGAGCCGGACAGGCAAGGCGCAUUACUGUCCCCUCACGGCCGGCCUGACAUACAGCCAGACCUACCAUGACAGGCGUAAGUAACGCGUUUUGGCCUGAACGUUAACAACUUUCGACACAUCAACAGCACAAAAGCUGCCCAUCCAGCGUGUAUAUUUUCCAUACUAAUUAAAGGCACUGCGUCAUGUUGUCAGUGGAGGUCGUGGUGUUUUUUUUUUUUUUUUGCAAACACUCACAAUGGACAUAAUGUGUUGCUAAAAUGAUAAUUUUGGUACUCAACUUUGAAUGUUGUUGCAUUAGCAAAGUCCUAAAGGCCAACAAUA
Long non-coding RNA from Hippocampus zosterae (dwarf seahorse), 1950 nucleotides. RefSeq lists it as uncharacterized. The record is from RefSeq and is a predicted model, not a curated record. NCBI's taxonomy places the organism in Eukaryota, Metazoa, Chordata, Actinopteri, Syngnathiformes, Syngnathidae. The transcript is spliced from 3 exons.